UCACUUUCAGCGAUUGAACCAAUGGAAUCCAUCUUUUCUCCUCCUUUGCGCUUCUUCUAAAACAGACUCACCUACGUGCCGUGUCAGAUUUUUCAAGACGUUGUCUUCUGUCUGGCACCUCCUUUGAGACUUGGUCAAUCUAGUUUCAGUCUGAAUUGAUCCAAUAUCCUAAAACUUUUUUCCUUCGCAGUCUUCGGUCCUAGCUCUAGUUCCUUACUCCACCUUGUGUCCCCAAGUAUUCGGAACCCCAACCAAGUCCCUCGAAGUCCUAGACACCCGAACCUCAAGCCCAUAGAGGGCAACACACCGCUUCCAUUCUAAGACCACUCCUGUCCUAGCCCUAGGACUCAAACCUGUCCUAGUCUCCCGGAGCCAACAUCCUAACUCCUCCUGUGGCCUUCCAAGGCUUGGGAGUAUCACACCAACUUCUACAAUCUUCAUCUUGGUGCGGCCAAAUCUUGGCAUAUCCGACAAUAUCCUCCUGCAUGAUCCCACUGUCGCUACAUACCUUAACAGCCCCUUGUGCGAACAUCCUUGCCUUCGCCAACCCUCUUCAGCUGUUGAGCUCUCUUUGAGGCCUUUGGGAUGACUGCCUCCAUCGCUGAAGAUCCUUGUUUGCUCCUUUGCACCAUCUUAAAGUUUUUUGUAGGCAUCUUUCUGCUUGACAGCCGCAUCAACUGUUACCCUGGACUUCUGUAGAGAAAUCGCAGCAUUUUUUACCGACACUUGCUGCAACUGACGCACCUGAUACGGUCUCCCCAGAGCCACGCCUCUCUAUCUGCACACUCCGCUCUACCUGGCUCUGUAUAGUCCUGGCGCUGGUGCUAGGAUAUCGCUCCUCUUACAUCUCUCCGCUCUGAACACGUGCCAAAAUCUCCUCCACCUGUGAAGAUACCUCCGUAAUGCUCCACCUGAAUUCAAAGUCCCCCUGAUGCCACAGAAACUGACUCUGUAUCCGAGUCACUCGAGGCCAACUAUCCAACGCUAUCCUGCUGGGUCUAUCGCUGCACCUCGAAUACUGUCGCUGCCCCUUCGGACCUUCCGCACUCCGCAGAUCCCUCCGAAGAUGUCUCGGAUACACCACACCCCGCGGGCUCCUCCGAAAAUAUCAAGAGCUCAUCCGACUCUUCACUUUCAGCGAUUGAACCAAUGGAAUCCAUCUUUUCUCCUCCUUUGCGCUUCUUCUAAAACAGACUCACCUACGUGCCGUGUCAGAUUUUUCAAGACACUGUCUUUUGUCUGGCACCUCCUCUAAGACUUGGUCAAUCUAGUUUUAGUCUGAGUCGAUCCAAUAUCCUAAAAUUUUUUUUCUUUGCAAUCUUCAGUCCUAGCUCUAGUU
RNAcentral lists this long non-coding RNA (1339 nucleotides) under Elaeis guineensis (African oil palm). RNAcentral describes it as "long non-coding RNA (EGUI_LNC013216)". Lineage: Eukaryota; Viridiplantae; Streptophyta; Magnoliopsida; Arecales; Arecaceae. The record is from RNAcentral.